RNAcentral lists this ribosomal RNA (286 nucleotides) under Monacha cartusiana. RNAcentral describes it as "partial 16S ribosomal RNA". Lineage: Eukaryota; Metazoa; Mollusca; Gastropoda; Stylommatophora; Hygromiidae. The record is from RNAcentral.
UCAGUUGGCUUAUAAUUGAAGUCUAGUAUGAAUGGGAACUCGGGGAUAUUCUGUCUUUUAUUUACGAUUAGAAAUUACUAAUUAAGUGAAAAUUCUUAAUCCUUUAGAAAAAAGACGAGAAGACCCUAGAAAUUUUUUAAAAUAUAUUUUGUUGGGGCGACAAGGUAACAUAAAACUUACCUAUACAAUAGGAAAUUUUUUAGUUGGGUAAAUAAAUUACUCUAGGGAUAACAGCAUAAUAUUUUAAAGUUUGUGACCUCGAUGUUGGACUAGGAAAUACCCUACU